UACGUAGGGGGCAAGCGUUGUCCGGAUUUAUUGGGCGUAAAGAGCUCGUAGGCGGUUAUUCGCGUCGGAUGUGAAAGCUCAGUGCUCAACACUGAGAUGCCAUUCGAUACGGGAUGACUAGAGGUAGGUAGGGGAGAUCGGAAUUCCUGGUGUAGCGGUGAAAUGCGCAGAUAUCAGGAGGAACACCGGUGGCGAAGGCGGAUCUCUGGGCCUUACCUGACGCUGAGGAGCGAAAGCUGGGGGAGCGAACAGG
Molecule: unclassified non-coding RNA, 253 nt
Filed under: uncultured Actinomycetes bacterium
Lineage: Bacteria; Bacillati; Actinomycetota; Actinomycetes
Description: uncultured actinobacterium contains 16S-23S intergenic spacer region
Rfam family: Bacterial small subunit ribosomal RNA
Source: RNAcentral